This 440-nucleotide ribosomal RNA is filed under the name uncultured bacterium. RNAcentral describes it as "partial 16S ribosomal RNA". It matches the Rfam family "Bacterial small subunit ribosomal RNA", at positions 338 to 795 of the family's 1533-position model. The record is from RNAcentral.
CCUACGGGUGGCUGCAGUGGGGAAUAUUGCACAAUGGGGGAAACCCUGAUGCAGCAACGCCGCGUGAGUGAAGAAGUAUUUCGGUAUGUAAAGCUCUAUCAGCAGGGAAGAAAAUGACGGUACCUGAGUAAGAAGCCACGGCUAAAUACGUGACGGUCGCCGCGGUAAUAGGGGGGGGGCAAGCGUUGUCCGGGUUUGCUGGGUGUAAAGGGAGCGUAGGCGGGGAUACAAGUCUGAAGGGAAGGCCCGGGGCUCAACCGGGGGAGUGCAUUGGAAACUGUGUUGCUGGAGUGCUGGAGAGGCGAGAGGAAGGCGUGGUGUAGCGGUGAAAUGCGUAGAUAUUAGGAAGAACACCGGUGGCGAAGGCGGCUUGCGGGACAGUGACUGACGUUGAGGCUCGAAAGCGUGGGGAGCAAACAGGAUUAGAGACCCGAGUAGUC